Ctenocephalides felis (cat flea) is the source of this 1123-nucleotide RNA transcript. It is a transcript of the gene named ATP synthase subunit a-like, with no coding region annotated. Lineage: Eukaryota; Metazoa; Arthropoda; Insecta; Siphonaptera; Pulicidae. The transcript has a single exon. The record is from RefSeq and is a predicted model, not a curated record.
AUGAUAACUAAUUUAUUUUCUAUUUUUGAUCCUAUAAACUCAAAUAAUUUAUCUUUAAAUUGAAUUAGAACUAUAUUAGGACUAUUAUUUAUUCCAAAUAUAUUUUGAAUAAUUCCGUCCCGAUACAAUAUAAUUUGAUUAAAAAUUAUUAUAACACUUCAUAAUGAAUUUAAAUUACUUAUAAAAUUUAAUCCUAUAGGAAGGACUUUUAUAUUUAUUAGAUUAUUUUCAUUUAUUUUAUUUAAUAAUUUUUUAGGUUUAUUUAAUUAUAUUUUUACAAGAACUAGUCAUUUAACUUUAACUUUAAGAUUAAGACUUCCUUUAUGAUUAAGAUUUAUAUUAUUAGGAUGAAUUAAUAAUUAUAAUCAUAUAUUUAGUCAUCUAGUGCCUCAAGGAACUCCAAUAAUUUUAAUACCUUUUAUAGUUUGUAUUGAAACAAUUAGAAAUAUUAUUCGACCUGGUACAUUAGCCAUCCGACUCUCAGCAAAUAUAAUUGCUGGACAUUUAAUUCUAACUUUACUUGGCAAUACAGGAAACUCUCUAUCUAUAUGAUUAAUUUGAAUUUUAAUUUUCUCUCAAUUAAUUUUAUUAAUUUUAGAAAUUGCUGUAUCUAUUAUUCAAUCUUAUGUAUUUGCUGUUUUAAGAACUCUUUAUUCUAGAGAAAUUUACUAAUGUCACAAAAUCAUCCAUUUCAUUUAGUUGAUUAUAGUCCUUGACCUUUAACUGGAGCUUUAGGAACUUUAAGUUUAACAUUAGGUAUAAUUAUAUGAUUUCAUCAAUUUAAUUAUACAUUAAUAUUAUUAGGAAUAAUAAUUACCUUAUUAACUAUAUUUCAAUGAUGACGAGAUAUUAGUCGAGAAGGAUCAUUCCAAGGUCUUCAUAGUUUAAUAGUUUCUAAAGGAUUACGAAUCGGAAUAAUUUUAUUUAUUAUUUCAGAAAUUUUAUUCUUUUUUUCUUUCUUCUGAGCAUAUUUUCAUAGAAGAUUAUCACCUUCUAUUGAAUUAGGAAUAAUUUGACCACCUUUAAAUAUUAAAAUAUUUAAUCCUUUUCAAAUCCCUCUAUUAAAUACAGCAAUUUUAUUAUCUUCAGGAAUUUCAAUUACAUGAGCUCAUCAUUCAUUACU